CCUACGGGAGGCAGCAGUGGGGAAUAUUGCGCAAUGGGCGCAAGCCUGACGCAGCGACGCCGCGUGAGGGAUGAAGGUCUUCGGAUCGUAAACCUCUGUCAGCAGGGAAGAACGGUCACUUUGCUAAUCAGCAGUGCAUUGACGGUACCUGCAGAGGCAGCACCGGCUAACUCCGUGCCAGCAGCCGCGGUAAUACGGAGGGUGCGAGCGUUAAUCGGAAUUACUGGGCGGAAGGCGCUCGUAGGCGGUAUGGUAAGUCAAGGGUGAAAUCCCCGCGCUCAACGUGGGAACUGCCUGUGAAACUGGCAAACUGGAGUGUGGGAGAGGAUAGUGGAAUUCCAGGUGUAGGAGUGAAAUCCGUAGAGAUCUGGAGGAACAUCAGUGGCGAAGGCGACUAGCUGGAACAUAACUGACGCUGAGGAGCGAAAGCGUGGGUAGCAAACAGGAUUAGAUACCCCUGUAGUC
This 465-nucleotide ribosomal RNA is filed under the name uncultured bacterium. RNAcentral's name for it is "partial 16S ribosomal RNA". It matches the Rfam family "Bacterial small subunit ribosomal RNA", at positions 338 to 795 of the family's 1533-position model. The record is from RNAcentral.